Molecule: long non-coding RNA, 1276 nt
Filed under: Sus scrofa (pig)
Lineage: Eukaryota; Metazoa; Chordata; Mammalia; Artiodactyla; Suidae
Description: lncRNA (ENSSSCG00015002746.1)
Source: RNAcentral
CCUGCCUGUUCAUAUAUUCUUGGUCUCCAGGGACAAGAUAUGCCAUCUGAACAGUUCUCCCCUCUUUUAAGCUGGGCAGGAGGCCUCUUUCAGUUCAUGAUCUUUGGGGAGUUCACUGAGUACCAGCUGCCUGCAGGCAUCACCCCUGGGCCCAUGGGUGUUCUAUUGGAGGCUGCAGCUGCCUGGCAUGGCAGAGCACGGAGUGUUCUUGUUGGAAGACAAAUGGAACUGGAUUCACCCAGUUUAUAUUUGGAAUGGAAACUGAUUGGGAAGUGACUUUAUGCUGGGGCAGAGACAGGAGAGAACAGAGGAAGAACCUGAAGAGGAUACAGGUUUCCCUCACUUUACGAAAGGAGAACGUGCCUUGAAACAGUUCCUAAGUGAAAAUGGCAUAACGUGAAUCAGCAGUCACCCUGGAGGACACAUCUUGCUAGUGGAGGCACAAAGUAAACUGAGAUAAAGCACAGAUGCUCACAGACACGGUUCAAAGCCAUGGCAGCUUGAUGCUGAGAUGCUGAGAGUGGUUCCCAGGAAGUGCUUGGUCACACGUCCCUCUCACUGCUUGGGGUGCACGCCGCUUCUACAAAGGCGCCUAGAAUUGAAGAGGCGUAAAGGAACCUGGAGUAAAUUGAACUUUUGAAAAGUGGAGCAUACCUCUGUCAUAUCCAUUAAGUUUUCCUUCGUGAGUUAAAAGGUGAUCGGUGACUCUAUCAUAUUCCUUAAAAGCUGUCACCUGGGCUAAAAUGACCAAGUGGAUGAAGAAGGGAAACAAACAAGGUGAAUUUGCCACUAUGAUUCUCACAGUUUCGUGGGCUCCUCACAUUUAAGUACAUACUAGGAGUUAGCAGGUGCAACCUGUUGCACCUUCAGACUAUCCCUAAAAGGCAGGUGGAGAGAAGGUUCAAGGAAAGGAAGAACCACAGACACUAAGUGUGAUGUCCCUGAUUUCCCUCAGAAGAAUGUUUUCUCCAUCUACAGUUGCUAUACAGCUGGUGUGUUCCUUGACCAUGUAAAUUUUGCUUUCUAAAAGGCAAAGAACUUAUUUUUAUGUUUGUUUUUCAUUGAUGGGGAUAUGUAACAUCACAGCCAUAAAAGAGAUGGUCCCCUGAAAUUCCAAACUAUCCAAAGAGUUCUGUGCUCCCAGUACCAUCUUUCCACAACUGUAAAAAGGGGUGAAAUAUAAAUUUUUCAGAAUCAGGGACCCCCACCAUAGACCUAAUGGCAUGAUAAUCUCAGAGGAGGGAGAGAGCAGGUAUUUAAUUUUUUUUUUUUUUUU